GACGAACGCUGGCGGCGUGCCUAAUACAUGCAAGUUGAGCGCUGAAGGUUGGUACUUGUACCAACUGGAUGAGCAGCGAACGGGUGAGUAACGCGUGGGGAAUCUGCCUUUGAGCGGGGGACAACAUUUGGAAACGAAUGCUAAUACCGCAUAAAAACUUUAAACACAAGUUUUAAGUUUGAAAGAUGCAAUUGCAUCACUCAAAGAUGAUCCCGCGUUGUAUUAGCUAGUUGGUGAGGUAAAGGCUCACCAAGGCGAUGAUACAUAGCCGACCUGAGAGGGUGAUCGGCGACAGUGGGACGGAGACACGGCCCACAAGCGUACGGGAGGAAGCAGUAGGGAACCUUGGGCAACGGAAGAAAGUAUGACCGGGCAACGCCGGGAGAGCGGAGAAGGUUAUCGGAUCGGAAAAAUCUGUUGGUAGGGGAGAAAGUUGGUGAGCGUGGAAAGAUCAUAAAGUGACGGUAACUACACAAAAAGCGACGGCUAAAUACGUG
RNAcentral lists this ribosomal RNA (497 nucleotides) under uncultured bacterium. RNAcentral describes it as "partial 16S ribosomal RNA". It matches the Rfam family "Bacterial small subunit ribosomal RNA", at positions 28 to 507 of the family's 1533-position model. The record is from RNAcentral.